CCUACGGGAGGCAGCAGUGGGGAAUAUUGGACAAUGGGCGAAAGCCUGAUCCAGCCAUGCCGCGUGUGUGAAGAAGGCCUUCGGGUUGUAAAGCACUUUCAGUGGGGAAGAAAGCCUUGGGGCUAAUACCCUCGAGGAAGGACAUCACCCACAGAAGAAGCACCGGCUAACUCCGUGCCAGCAGCCGCGGUAAUACGGAGGGUGCGAGCGUUAAUCGGAAUUACUGGGCGUAAAGCGCGCGUAGGCGGUCUGAUAAGCCGGUUGUGAAAGCCCCGGGCUCAACCUGGGAACGGCAUCCGGAACUGUCAGGCUAGAGUGCAGGAGAGGAAGGGAGAAUUCCCGGUGUAGCGGUGAAAUGCGUAGAGAUCGGGAGGAAUACCAGUGGCGAAGGCGGCCUUCUGGACUGACACUGACGCUGAGGUGCGAAAGCGUGGGUAGCAAACAGGAUUAGAUACCCGGGUAGUC
Molecule: ribosomal RNA, 465 nt
Filed under: Vreelandella stevensii
Lineage: Bacteria; Pseudomonadati; Pseudomonadota; Gammaproteobacteria; Oceanospirillales; Halomonadaceae
Description: partial 16S ribosomal RNA
Rfam family: Bacterial small subunit ribosomal RNA
Source: RNAcentral